Molecule: long non-coding RNA, 806 nt
Filed under: Marmota monax (woodchuck)
Lineage: Eukaryota; Metazoa; Chordata; Mammalia; Rodentia; Sciuridae
Source: RNAcentral
AGGAAUUAGAACAGGGAAAGCUUAAUGUGAAGAAUAACUUGUCAAAGGAGGUUGGUGCUAGUAUUGAACUCUCUGGAGCACAGCUUACUGUCUCCAGCUUAUUAUGAUGAUUCAAUUGACAGUGUUUUUGACUUUUUGAUUGUGCAAAAGCCAUGGGCGCUCCACGGAAACCAUACUUGAGGUUUUGAAUUUUGAUCUUUUCCCAGGAUGGUGAAGUGCUGAUCAGCACUCUCUUGAGAUACUGGACAGCGUGACGGUGGCUGCUCCCGGUCAGCCACAGGUCACUAGGUGGGAUGCAUUGUGCGGCUGAGCUAAGCUAUGCCGUGGUUGGGUGUAUUACAUGCAUUUUCAAAUUAUGAUAUUUUACAUUUACGAUGGGCUGUGGGGGAGACAACCCCAUUGCAAGUUGAGGAGCAUCUUGCAAGAAGUAGUGGCUUCCUCUGGUGCCGAGGGGGGGUGACUGAUUCCGCAGUUAAGGACUUCAGAGCUGAGGUUUAGAUGCGGUUGGAGAGCCUGAUGCUGCUCAGGAACACAUGACGCGCUGGUGGCAAAAGAACCUGGCAGGAGUUGUACUCAGGGUCAGUCUAUAGGGUCAGCCAGCCGAGGGGACGAGAGGCUUGCUGUGGGGUGUGGGAAGACCAAGAGUGGCCCACAGGAAGUGGCCCGCUGGGUGUCAGAGGCACUUGAUGGACAGUGGACACCCUGGGUUGGCUGGCAGGAAAGGCUGUGUGACAGGAGAAGUCCUUCUGGGAGCACAGUAGGCAGAGCUCCUCCAGUGCCAGCUGCUGAGAGAGAGUACUAUCGUG